GGGGAUCAAAUACUUUUCCCCCCCACUGUAUUAACAAGGGAGCAGGUCAAUACAACGCACACAUAUAAAGUGAAUCGAUUGAGUGCUCUACGAUAAUGAUGACUGGUCAUAGCUGGUCGACAAUUCACGCUCAGAUGAUUCGUUGAGAGCCCCGAGACAAAAGUACAAACGUCUUUUAUAGCCAAGAUACACCCCUUUCAACCUACAUGACGAACAACAGAUACAUAGAAUGGGUCACAAGGUUAAGAUCUGGAUGAAAGAUACCUAUAAUACAUAGCAUACAGUAUCUGCUGUGUCAACAGUUUUCAUUGUAUAGACCAGAGUCUGUCCCUCUGACUCCAAACUGGAACCAUCUCUCCCUGGUACGGUAUAGAACAGAAACAUUAACUCAUGCUCUGGAAUGCUCUUUAGGUUUUAUCACCCAAAAGACCUCAUAAAUCUCCUCUGUCAGUGUUAUCUCCCAGAGGCCCAUCCUCAGUAGAACACACACACACAAUAGUUAAUAGAAUACUCUAUUCUGUUCCAUAACACAACCAUUUGAUGCAAUAAAGGUAGUAUAACAUAGUCUUGCAGUUUUGCUCUCACAACCCUCUAUAACGUUCUCAUUUAUCAUUAUUCACGAUUCAUUCAGGAUUAUCCGUAAAUUUGUCACAAGCUUGAUGUAGUCCUUACGUACUAAGAAUAUGGAACCAAGUACGACAUUUCUGACUACUUUAUUUAUAAGAAUCUUUAAGGCUGUCAAUCAUUAAUCACCCCUAUAAAAAAAAUACUUAAAACAAUCUAUUUUUCUGAGCAAUUGUAUUAGUAUAAAAUAAUAUAAUUUCCCCUUUUUUUUUGCUUACAAUAUACUGUAGCUUAGUAUUAGAUUUUUUACAUUUUAUACAGUCAUUAUUGUUCAUAUUCAUCAAUGGUGUCAAUAAUGUCGGAACCCACUGUAUGUAUAAGAGCAUCUGGGUGUGUGGACCCUACACUGUUACUACAAAGUUCAGAGGUAACUGAUAUCAAACCCACACAGGAGCUGGAGCCGGAGGAGGCUCCACAAUCUUUCAGGGUGAAGGAAGAGGGGCUGGUCCAGGCUAAUGGAACCUCUGCCCAGGCAGCAGGAGAGGAGUUACAGCUGGCUAGAGAGGCACGAGAGGAGGAGAUGGAGGAGGAUGAAAUUGUCUCACCUUGCUCCCUAUCAGAGGUUUUCAAAUUCUAAAGUAGGUUUGGAAGUUCUGAAAAUGUGGCUUUUUGAGUAGUUGUACCCAUUUUGAAAUUGGCUGUACAAUACUGAGAUUAAUAAAGGUGCGCUGUCAUUGAUACUAAACAUUUUGUCAAAAAUCAUUGACUACGGAAUGAGUUUUCCUUUUCUCUGCACCACAAUGCAAUGGCGUGCAUGUUGAUAUUUUCGUCCAAUUAUAUCGACCUUUCUCUUGUCCUGUCCAGUUCCCAGUCCAGACCUGAGCUUCCAGCCAGAUGAGCACCUGGAAGUGUAUGUGUCAACGUCAGAGAACCCCCACCACUUCUGGAUCCAGAUUCUGGGGCUGGACAAACUUACUGCCGAGAUGAGCCGCUUCUACAGCAAAGGAACCCGGCAGGAGUGACUUCCUCAGCCUACCAUUCCAGGUCAUCGAGUGCAGCUUAGCUGGAGUCAACCCAGCAGGCAGACUGUGGAUCUAGGAGAGGAGCUGGUGAGUCUUGGCCAUGCUCUGCCUAGCCAGGAUAAUUGGAACGGUAGGGGCGACAGGUACUACCCCGGAUCACCACAGAGGAUGUUGAUACCUUAGCGUGACCCUGGACAACACCCUGUCGUUCUCCGAAAACAUCAAGGCGGUGACCCGAUCCUGCGCACAAUCCACUGGCUUCCAGUUGAAGCUCGCAUCUGCUACAAGACCAAGUUGCUUGCCUACGGAGCUGUGAGGGGAACGGCACCUCCGUACCUUCAGGCUCUGAUCAGUCCCUACACCCAAAGAAGGGCACUGCGUUCAUCCACCUCUGGCC
Molecule: long non-coding RNA, 1983 nt
Filed under: Salmo salar (Atlantic salmon)
Lineage: Eukaryota; Metazoa; Chordata; Actinopteri; Salmoniformes; Salmonidae
Description: lncRNA (ENSSSAG00000119188.1)
Source: RNAcentral